RNAcentral lists this ribosomal RNA (408 nucleotides) under uncultured bacterium. RNAcentral's name for it is "partial 16S ribosomal RNA". It matches the Rfam family "Bacterial small subunit ribosomal RNA", at positions 29 to 526 of the family's 1533-position model. The record is from RNAcentral.
AGUGAACGCUGGCGGCGUGCCUAAUACAUGCAAGUCGAACGGAGUGGCGCACGGGUGAGUAAUAUAUAGCUAAUCUGCCCCUUGCUGGAGGACAACAGUUAGAACUGAAUGCUAAUACUCCAUAGCAAGGGAUGAGCCUAUAUCGUAUCAGCUAGUCGGUGGGGUAACGGCCUACCGAGGCUAUGACGCGUAACUGGUCUGAGAGGAUGAUCAGUAACAUUGUAACUGAGACACGGUCCAAACUCCUACGGGAGGGAGCAGUAGGGAAGAUUGCGCAAUGGGGGAAACCCUGACGCAGCAUCGGCGCGUGGAGGAUGACACGUUUCGGAGUGUAAAGUCCGUUUGUUAGGGAAGCGGUACCUAACGAAUAAGCACCGGCUAACUCCGUGCCAGCAGCCGCGGUAAUAC